GUCGGGCUCCUCCGCCAGCGUCGAGCUGGAGUCGCGCGCCGGCCCGCUGUGGGGUCGGGCGUCCGAGGCCCAGCCGGCCCGAGAAGUAGGCUCGGUCCGAGCUGGACGCUGCAGGUUCUGACCUCGAAACGGGGGCCUGAGUCCUUCAAGAGCCUGGGGGCGAAGAGACGAGAAGGCGGCUGCAUUUUGCUGAAUGGUGGUGGUGUUUGGGGUUUUUUAAAAUCCUUUCUCCCCCAUUUUCCUUUUUACACUUUUUUUUCUUAAAAAAGAUUUUUUUUUGGUCUUUGCCCUUUUAUUCGUUGGGGGAGUGAAUGCUGUCAGUGGCGAAGUAAAAUUAGGAAGGGGCCCUUGCCCGGCUGGCGCCUUCUCUGCGCGCUGACCUGCGGGCGAGGCUUGGGGCAGAGCUCGGCGGAGGGCGGAGGCCGCAAGUGGAGGGCCAUGCAGAUUGGAUCAAACCAGAAAUAAGGCUCUCUGUCCAGAAAAAGCCUUCACUGAAAGAAAUAACGUGCUUAAGGAAGGAACGUAUAAGUCAGGAAUUGAGCCAAGAAAAGCCUGCGAAGUAAAUAUUUGGCAGGGUCCCAGUCUGAAGGGGAAAGUCUCCCGAGCAGUUCUGGAGGCCAGAAUCUGAAAUCAAAGUGUCAACAGGGCUAUGCUCCCAGAAGCUUUAGGAGAGAAUCUGUUCCUUGGCUUUUCCAGUUUCUGGUGUCUGCUGGCAUUCCUGGGCUUGAAGGCACAAUCAGUUCAUCUUCAACUGCCUUCUCUGGGGAGACGUGCGUUGUGCACCCAUGAAACUGACCUUGUUUGGGAGUCAUGGACAUAUGCAUGAUAUUUAAAGCCAUGAGAUUGGAUGAGAUCAUCAAAGGAAUGAGAUCAUCAAAGGAUGGAGAAGAGGACCAGAGGCUGUGGUCAUCGGGAUGAACAAAACUGAGUAAGCAGAUAGGAGCUGCUUCAGGGAGUGUUGGGAGCUCAAGCUGUGUGAGAGGGGCUCAAAGCCCAGGGUGCUAGAUGGUACCAGCUACUUCUGCACGGUUGCCAAUGGAAACCAGAUAACUGGACUCUGACUGAAGCAGACAUGCCACCUUACGUCUUCCAUGAGAAGGACCGUAGGUUUCUGGCACAGUCCAAGUGUCCAGAGGAUUGUCAACACUCGUAUCAAUGGGCCCGUAGCUCCUGGAUUCCAGGGAAGGCAUCACUCCUCGUGGCUCUUACCCUCCUCCUGGGGUCAGCAGAAAGGCUGGAGCAGCUCUUCUCACAGAAGGGUCAAGAGGUCAAGUGGAGGCGUGAGAAGCAUCUUCGGGCCUAUGCUUGACACUGGCACAUUGUCCCUUGUUGGCCUAAGAGAGUGACAAAGACAAGAAAUGGGGACGUGCACUCUAUACAUGGACAUGGUGAUAGGAGAGGGGAUUCAUAGCUCUGAUCUAAUCUCUCUCUCUCUACAUCUGCGUACAUGUAUGUAUCUACAUUUAUCCAUCUAUAUACAUCUAUCUCCACAGCUACAUGUAUAUACAUUACCUAUUUAUCUCUACAUCUAUCUAUCUAUCCAUCUACAUCUAUAUACAUCUGUCUGUCUCUACAUCUACAUACAGGCAUAUAUUUACACUUAUCUAUCUAUCCAUCUACAUAUAUCUGUCUAUCUACAUCUAUUUAUCUGUCUAUCUAUAUAUUUAGAGAUAUUCAUUUCUAUGUGUAUAUAAAGAGUUUUAAAAAAGGAUAGACCACAAAUUAAUGGGAGUUUUGUGAACAUGGUAGAUUUUAAAAUCAUUUUUAUUUUUUCUUUAAAUUUUUGCCAUACGUACCCUGCUUGGUGUAAUCUUAUAACAACAAUAAAGACAUUUUAUUGCGGAA
RNAcentral lists this long non-coding RNA (1845 nucleotides) under Sus scrofa (pig). Its description in RNAcentral is "lncRNA (ENSSSCG00015038465.1)". The record is from RNAcentral. Lineage: Eukaryota; Metazoa; Chordata; Mammalia; Artiodactyla; Suidae.